RNAcentral lists this long non-coding RNA (510 nucleotides) under Notechis scutatus (mainland tiger snake). Its description in RNAcentral is "lncRNA (ENSNSUG00000006149.1)". The record is from RNAcentral. Lineage: Eukaryota; Metazoa; Chordata; Lepidosauria; Squamata; Elapidae.
GCUCUGCGAAGUUCGAGCCAGCUUGCCUGUCGGUGUUUGUGUGUGUAUAUAAUCCCUUACCUUUUGGGGGAAGGGGAAGGGGAGACAGAACAGGUCAUUACGUUUAAAACUCUAAAUUGUGUAGCAGCAAUAUGCAGCAAGCAAUCCUUUGUCAGAAUUGAAUCUACCCAACUGGUCCUGUGAUCAAGAUUGAACCUGCUGAAAAUUCCCUAAAUGAGAUUAUGUUGAACAAUGGCAUCUCAAUUCAAGUUACUGGAAUUUGGGCUGAACUGGUGUAACCCAAAAAGACCUCUUCACAGGAAAGAAGGUCACACUUGCCUUUCCAACAGCAGGUAACCAUCUUCCAGACUUGGAAACAGCCAAAUCAGCCAGAGAUACAGAGGUUCAAAUAAGUGGGAUUUCUCUUAUGUAUGACUUCCAGGAUUCCAAGCAAAUCUUGAUGGCAUUCACUUCAUUUAUAACCUGUUCUAGAAGAGAUCACUACAUCACUCCAGGUUGUUUCCAGCAGAA